RNAcentral lists this long non-coding RNA (3298 nucleotides) under Homo sapiens (human). Its description in RNAcentral is "long intergenic non-protein coding RNA 1572". Lineage: Eukaryota; Metazoa; Chordata; Mammalia; Primates; Hominidae. The record is from RNAcentral.
CUUUUUUUUUUUUUUUUUUUUUUUUGCGAUGGAGUCUCGCUGUGUCACCCAGGCUGGAGUGCAGUGGUGUGAUCUUGGCUCAGUGCAACCUCUGCCUCCCGGGUUCAAACGAUUCUCCUGCCUGAGCCUCCUGAGCAACUGGGACUACAGGUGCCCGCCACCACGCCCAGGUAUUUUUUUUUUUUGUAUUUUUAGUAGAGACGGGGUUUCACCAUGUCAGCCAGGAUGGUCUCAAUCUCCUGACCUCGUAAUUCACCUGCCUAAGCCUCUCAACGUGUUGGGAUUACAGGCGUGAGACACUGCACCCGGCCUGAUGCAUGAUUUCUUUCCCCCGAACUCAGACAUCAGAUCAAGGUCACUGUUAUCUUCCCAAGAACGUGUAAAGUGCCUGACAUACAGUAGGUGCCAGUAAAUAAUUAUUGAAUGAAAGAAUAAACAUAUCAAAAUGGUAUCUACUUUUUAAAGGUUAAAAAAAACUAACAAAUUUUUCUUUACAAUUUGAGAAAAAAAUUCUUGUUUCCUGGAGAGCUAAUGAAAGGAAACACACAUUCACACAUACAAUACUUUUUUUUUUUUUCAAACUUUGGGGAAUGGAUCCAUAGUAAAUACUCCUCCCCAUACAUUCGCCUGCUUCACGAUUUUUUAUUUUUUAAUAUAUUAUCAAAAGUCCUGAGGUGACAUCUCAACUUCUUCUCUACUCAACUUACAGGCAGAGAAAACAAAAGCUCAGCUGGAAGACACUGAAAUGGAGGCACCUACUUUCAAGCCCAGACUUUAAGAGAGAGAUCCCUGCAUGGUGACAGUGGCCACUCUCCUGUCCUGCUGGCAGAUGAAACCUCCCAAAUCCUCCCAAAGUGCUGCAGCAUCCACGUGCAGAAGGGUAUUUGCAUUCACUUGGUGCCUCAUUGUAAGGAAGGACACCAUUGACAGCACAUAACAUCACUAUUAUUAUUGCUAAACAGAUGGAAAAUAAUUGUUUAUGGAAUUUGUGUUUUAAUCGCAUUAAUGUCUUUGGCAGGAAGAUCCACCUAAGUACACAAUUCAAAGCCUGCCUUUGAUCUGGGCCCCUUGGGGGCAUUUUCCAUGACUGAUAAAAUGCUCCUCUGAGUUCAUAGGCAAAUGAUGAAAAUGAUAAAAAGACAAAAGUCAGGCACCAACCUCCCAUUUGGAUAUUUUGUCUCCUUGGAGAAUCACAAGCUCACCAGGCUUGCAGUCAUGCUGACGAUACAACACAUCUCACCCUGUUAUACCCACCCAGGGCUCAAUAUGAACGCCUUCGUCGCUCUCCUCCCUUCUUUUCCAGUUCCCUCCUCCCCUUUGCACACAAACACACACAUGCUUGAUGCAAGAAUUCAUGUGCUCUCUCUUUUCAAAGAUUCUUACUGCCUUUUUAUAUGGGCCAGUUUAGAUGCUUAUAAAGUAUUUCUCAAUAAUAGCCCUUACACAUAUUUUCCCCUUUCAUCCAUCACGCAUUUCUUGGUUAGCAUUAUAUUGUGACAAGAUAGAAAUCAAAAGCAUUGCUUUUAAUGAAAAUGAACGUUCUAGUUCGGAAACAGUUUGUCUUCUAAAUAUUCUGCCAUAAAUCAGGCUGAGUGCAGUGUAAUCAAGACCAAACCCUGAAAACUUGACAAUUUCCCUCUUACCAAGACCCAAAGGACAGAAGCUAAUGUAGAAAUUUUGAUAGCUAGUGAAAAAGAAAAGGUUCUAUAGAUUUUUGUCUCACAAGCACAAUCCCCAUCUUUUCUUCUCCUGAGAAGGUUAAUUAGAUACUUUCCUUUACUCUUAGAAUAAAGAGAACUAAGGAGGUUUUAAAUUCAUAAAUGUAUUUUUUUGUUUAUUUGUUUGGUGUAUUUUUCCCUCUCAUUCUUUCUCCUCUGCAGAACACAACUAGUAAAUGAUUGGAUCUUUGACAGAACAAAGGUAUUUUUGAUGGGCUCUGUAAUCUAGUGCGCUAAUGCGCCCAGUCCCCUCAUUGUCUUGCUGUCUGAUCCCAUCCCUUCUGCCAGACAGUCACUGCGGGAUGAGUCACUUUUAAUGUCUGAUAAUCAAGGUGAAUUUUCAAAAAGCUGCCAUUUUGGAAUUAUGCACUAUAUCACGGUGUCAGGGAGGAGAAGAGAAGGAAGGAUGAAGGGAAGGCUAAGAUAGACACCUACUGCACAUUGAGAGAACUGCAGGACACAACCAGCACCGUGCCAGACAAGAUGUGUCCGGAGGGUCCAAGUCGAUCAAGGCAUACAUAAUGAGAAGGAGACUAUGUUAAUUAUAAAUUAAAAAUAACUUCUAUGAUAAUGAAGAUUAUAUGCACAGGAGGAAAUGUCUUAGUUAAAACAGACUGGAGGGAUGCAAUUAAACACCAGCCAUUUGGGGGUAUGAAUUCUGUACCUACUGAAUAUAUUGUGGUCCAUUAAAUAACCUAAUACAAACUUACAUUUGAAAAAGAAUAGAAGUGAACUGUGGCUGUCUCCAUGGAUGCUGAAUUGUCUGCCAUCCUUAUUUAAAGCAACACAAGCGAAGGGAUGUUACUUAGUAGAUGAAAACAGCCUUCCUUCAACUAGGGAGACUGGUUAUUUCUGGAAUCAUUUAAAGAACUGAACCCACCCCCAUGAAGUAGAGAGGGAGAUACUGGAAACCCUCGGUAAACAAAGGCCAAUCAAAUAUUCUUGCAAGGCUUUGGCUGUUCAAAUAUAUGGCAGUCAGUGUCUUCUCUAAGGUAAUUAACUGAACCCACUGUUAGGUAUGAUGGCUUUGAAAUUUUUUUAAUUAUUGGCAUUAUAUUAAAUAGUAGGGUAGCUGAAGGAAAAUGACAUAAUAUGAGAAUAGCCUGCUACUUUUGUUUAUUAUUCAGAGAAGUGAACACCUAUAAAUAGAACCAGGAUGUUUUGACUAGGGAAAUGCUAUCCUCAUUACAGCUGGGAGAUGCUGGAGUGAUUUAAAGCCAAAGCUUCAAAGCUUUGUCCUGCUGUAUAAAAGCAUGAGGGUUUUCAUGGCUGUUUCAGUGGUCGGUGAGAGCCUGCAGGUGCUUUAUCUGUCCUGGAGGAGGGAGGAGAGCCAUUUCUGAGAGUGCUAUUUUGUAACCAUGAUGAGUACUUACAUAUUCCUCCAAGAGGUAUUUAAAUACCUACAUAUCUUCUUUAACAUAAGUUAUGUUUACAGAUUAUUACACCUUCAUAUUGUCUACCAAGGUUAAGUAGUCCCUCCUCCCCUUAACCCCCUCCACCUGCACCUUUGCCACUCUCUCUCUCUCUCUCUUGCACGCUCUCCCUGUCUCUCUCUCUCUCUCUCUCACACACACACCACC